AGAGUUUGAUCCUGGCUCAGGACGAACGCUGGCGGCGUGCCUAACACAUGCAAGUCGAACGAAGUAUGUUUUUCGGAAUGUACUUAGUGGCGGACGGGUGAGUAACGCGUGAAUAAUCUGCCCCAUACAGGGGGAUAGCCUCGGGAAACCGGGAUUAAAACCGCAUGAUGCUUUUUUAUCGCAUGGUAGAGAAGUCAAAUCGAAUAAGAGGUAUGGGAUGAGUUCGCGUCUGAUUAGCUGGUUGGCGGGGUAAGAGCCCACCAAGGCGACGAUCAGUAGCCGGCCUGAGAGGGUGACCGGCCACACUGGAACUGAGACACGGUCCAGACUCCUACGGGAGGCAGCAGUGGGGAAUAUUGCACAAUGGAGGGAACUCUGAUGCAGCGAUGCCGCGUGAGUGAAGAAGGUCUUCGGAUCGUAAAACUCUGUCCUUGGUGACGAAGAAAAUGACGGUAGCCAAGGAGGAAGCCCCGGCUAACUACGUGCCAGCAGCCGCGGUAAU
Molecule: ribosomal RNA, 502 nt
Filed under: uncultured bacterium
Lineage: Bacteria
Description: bacterial SSU rRNA
Rfam family: Bacterial small subunit ribosomal RNA
Source: RNAcentral